CCCCAAGAAGCGCCACUUAGGAUACGGAGGAUACGGCUUAUACGGAGGAUACGGAGGAUACGGCCUCGGAGGAUUUGGCUUAGGAGGCUAUGGGGGCUACGGAGGCUUCGGCCAUGGAUCUCACUAUCCGUAUUACGGCUCCUACUACGGAUAGACACGAUGCUGAAGGAACAGAACAUCCUUCUACUGCCAAAGGACUUUCUGGGACUUGAGGAGAGUGAAACGUUAAAGGCUACAGAAUUUAUAUAUUUUAAUGACUCGUGUAAAGUCAUCCAAAUAAAGUCGGAUCGUUUUA
This 295-nucleotide long non-coding RNA is filed under the name Penaeus japonicus. RNAcentral's name for it is "uncharacterized LOC122247966". Lineage: Eukaryota; Metazoa; Arthropoda; Malacostraca; Decapoda; Penaeidae. The record is from RNAcentral.